UGACCUUUCAUCACAGAAUUAAUUAUAAGUAGCAUUGUCAACUCUGUCUAGAAUCAUUCUACUGGAAAUCAGUUUAAAAAGAAAUGUAAUAGACAUGUGUAUUUGCUAUCUGCGUCAUUUUAUGUUACGUUUAGCAUGGAAAAUAAACUCUUCUGUUCUUGCAGUUUAUUUUCUGAAGAUUAGCAACAGGUGAAAAUAUAUCUUAAAUAUAAAUACAUUCAUUGAAAAAGAUUGAUUGUGUAAAAAUCAUGUUUAAAGUUCAAUGGUUUAUAAAUAUUGAAUUGAGACAAAUAUUGAAGCAAGGCCUUGCUAAUUAUAAAGUCUACCGUUACAUACAAAUAAUAUGCAAUACAUUUUUGUUUUCUGAGUCACAGUGACAUAAUUAACAGAUAUACCCAGAAUGUGACCAUUACUUUAAUAUGGGUCACAUUGACCUAAUUUACCACAACAAUCUCUCUAGCCACAACAAUGUUUUAUUUAAAACUAAGUCGCAAUGACCUUAUUCAUAUUUAACCUCUCUCUAGCAACAACAAUGUUAUAAAACUAGGUCGCAACGACCUUAUUCAUAAUUUACCUCUCUCUAGGAACAACAAUGUUUAUAAGAACGUGCUUCAACACACAUAUAUAUCCCAUUUACAUGUACAUGCAUGUUAAUUGAAGAGUAUCCAUAUACAAUACAUUAAAAAUACGUUGAUAUAACUGUACAAAACAUCAUCUUCUGUUAUUAAAUAACAAAAAAUUAACAAUGAAUAUAUAAUUACAACAUAAUAGCUUACUACUUUACACUCAAACUCAUUCAAGUGUUGCUGAUUUACUUCUCAAACUGUCAAUUCUGUGAAUAAAAAUCUAUGUGUAAAUAUAUGCCAAUGAGUCUUAUCAAACAAAUUAAAACCUAAAGACAUUUGGAGGUCAACAUACUGAUUUCAAUAUUUGACAAAUAUAACAAACAUGCUAAGCUGUUUAACAAAUUGAGUUUAGAAAAUUGGUGAAUAAAUUGAGAUGAUUUGAAGUUCUAAAAAUUUAUAAAUAAAUUGAGUCUGUGAUUUUUAUGCUCCAGCCCAUUUUGUGAGUGGCCCCUAAAAAGCUAACCGAUUCGUCCACAGAAAAUGCAUUUUCAGUAUGCCAUUUAACAUUUAUAGUGAGGAUCUAUAUAAUGGUGCCUUUCUAUGAAAAUAUUUGAGAUCAAUUACAAAGGGAGACGAAGUCCAUGCAAUAUUUCAGUAUUCAAUAUUUUCAUGGCAAAAUGUUCAAUGUUUUUACAAAGACUGGCAGUACAUGCUUUACUUUAGAAUUAAUCAUAGCAUACUUAGCUCACUAAUAAUGACAUGGGUAUACUUAAUUUAAUACUGCAAUUAUAGAACAUUUCACAAAAAUAUGAAAUAUAAAAUUUCAGUUGUAGCAAAAAUAAGCUUUUAAAAUAUCAAAUCACAGUAUAACUAACUUAAAUACUAGGAAGCUUUAUAUAGGAAUGCAGUUUCAUUUUUGGAAUGUGCAAAAGCAUGAUUGUAGGUAUUUUUCAAAUAAAUGAGUAUUAAAAUGAUUAGAAAAAAAGUCCUGAAAUAAAGAGUGAAAAUUCAAGAAAUUACUUUAUGAGUAUUUGAUAAACAAGAUAUACACCUUAUCGCUAAUCCCGGCUGACCCAGCCGCUUGAACUUUUGAAGCAUACAACAAUCACUUUUCCAUUGUGGCAUCAGAUAUUUUGUUUUGUGAUGUCAAAAUUUUACAGGAACCUUUGUGAUAUCCAGUUAUGGCGGACAAAUAGUGAUAAGGUGUAUUCAUAACUAGGCCUCAAAAUAAAACAAAACUUUAAGCAUAUCAUUAAAUAUCUGUAGGCUAAACAAAUCAUUGCAAUUGAAGUAUUUUUUUAAGGGUAUAUUUCCAUUAGGCAACAAACCAGCAACCAGCAAAACUAUGAGUCAAAAUGGAUUAUUGCAUGUUACUGUGACCAUGCUUUUAACAGUACUAAAAAAGAACUUGGAUUAUAUCAACUAUUAUAAAGUGGUUUAUUUUGCAGAGAUCUUUCAUAAUUUCAAGUCAAACCCUAUUAUUUUGCAUGAUUUAUUUGUUUCUGACUCUAAUCUUCUUUGAAGCAAAACUUUUAGGAUUUAAGGAGUGAAUAAGUAAAGUGAUUUCUUCAUUUCAAUUAUAUUUCAAAAUUAACAAUAACAAAAAAUAAAGCCCUCACAAAAAUAUCCAACUUUACUAAAAUAAAGUUUUACACAAAAUAACAUUGAAAAUGCAAAUUUUGUUUCUAUCAAUAGACACAGUUAUACAACAUAAGUAGCACUAUUGCAUAUCAAACCUAUAAAUUUGCGCGAGCCAAAAGACUUUUUCCUAUUACAGACUUUUGUUUAUAUUUUCGACAGGUAACCUAUCAAAAAUUAUAAAAUCAAGGGUUAAAAGUUGAUAGUAUGAAAAUGGUCUAUUGAGAGAUCUUAUAAAUAUUGUAAAACUAACACAGUGAUGGUAGAUACACAUGACAGUAGAAU
Molecule: long non-coding RNA, 2489 nt
Filed under: Mytilus galloprovincialis (Mediterranean mussel)
Lineage: Eukaryota; Metazoa; Mollusca; Bivalvia; Mytilida; Mytilidae
Source: RNAcentral